This 513-nucleotide ribosomal RNA is filed under the name Hydrothelphusa madagascariensis. RNAcentral describes it as "partial 16S ribosomal RNA". It matches the Rfam family "Bacterial large subunit ribosomal RNA", at positions 1830 to 2585 of the family's 2925-position model. The record is from RNAcentral. Lineage: Eukaryota; Metazoa; Arthropoda; Malacostraca; Decapoda; Deckeniidae.
UCUAUUUGGGGAUAUAAAAAGUCUGACCUGCCCCCUGAUAAAAUAUUUAAGGGCCGCAGUAUUUUGACUGUGCAAAGGUAGCAUAAUAAUUAGGUUUUUAAUUGAAAUCUUGUAUGAAUGGUUGGACAAAAGAAACACUGUCUUUGUGUUAAAAAUUGAAUUUAACUUUUAAGUGAAAAGGCUUAAAUAUUCUAGAAAGACGAUAAGACCCUAUAAAACUUUACAUUUAAAUUAAUUUUUUAUUGAAUUUUAAAAUAUAAAAAUUUGAUUUAAUUAUUUUUGUUUUGUUGGGGAGACAAAAGCAAAAUUUUUUUUAAUUGCUAGAUUAUUAAUCAAUGAUAUAUGUGUAUAAAUAAUUUAAUAGAUCCUUUUUAUAGAUUUGAAGAUUAAGUUACUUUAGGGAUAACAGCGUUAUUUCUUUUGAGAGUUCAUAUCGAAAAAGAAGAUUGCGACCUCGAUGUUGAAUUAAAAUAUCUUUAUAAUGUAGCUGUUAUAAAAGAAAGUCUGUUCGAC